Molecule: ribosomal RNA, 440 nt
Filed under: uncultured bacterium
Lineage: Bacteria
Description: partial 16S ribosomal RNA
Rfam family: Bacterial small subunit ribosomal RNA
Source: RNAcentral
CCUACGGGAGGCAGCAGUGGGGAAUAUUGGACAAUGGGGGGAACCCUGAUCCAGCGACGCCGCGUGAGUGAAGAAGUAUUUCGGUAUGUAAAGCUCUAUCAGCAGGGAAGAAAAUGACGGUACCUGACUAAGAAGCCCCGGCUAACUACGUGCCAGCAGCCGCGGUAAUACGUAGGGGGCAAGCGUUAUCCGGAUUUACUGGGUGUAAAGGGAGCGUAGACGGUGCAGCAAGUCUGAUGUGAAAGGCCGGGGCCCAACCCCGGGACUGCAUUGGAAACUGUUGAACUGGAGUACAGGAGAGGUAAGCGGAAUUCCUAGUGUAGCGGUGAAAUGCGUAGAUAUCAGGAGGAACACCAGUGGCGAAGGCGGCUUACUGGACUGUAACUGACGUUGAGGCUCGAAAGCGUGGGGAGCAAACAGGAUUAGAUACCCUGGUAGUC